GACGAACGCUGGCGGCGUGCUUAACACAUGCAAGUCGAGCGGAAAGGCCCUUCGGGGUACUCGAGCGGCGAACGGGUGGGUAACACGUGAGUAAUCUGCCCUUGGCUUUGGGAUAACUACCGGAAACGGUGGCUAAUACCGGAUACGACAACCGUCUGCAUGGGCUGGUUGUGGAAAGUUUUUUCGGCCAGGGAUGUGCUCGCGGCCUAUCAGCUUGUUGGUGGGGUAAUGGCCUACCAAGGCUUCGACGGGUAGCCGGCCUGAGAGGGUGACCGGCCACACUGGGACUGAGACACGGCCCAGACUCCUACGGGAGGCAGCAGUGGGGAAAAUUGGACAAUGGGCGGAAGCCUGAUCCAGCAACGCCGCGUGAGGGAUGACGGCCUUCGGGUUGUAAACCUCUUUCAGUACCGACGAAGCGCCGAUGAUGGUGGUGACGGUAGGUACAGAAGAAGCACCGGCCAACUACGUGC
This 473-nucleotide ribosomal RNA is filed under the name uncultured bacterium. Its description in RNAcentral is "partial 16S ribosomal RNA". It matches the Rfam family "Bacterial small subunit ribosomal RNA", at positions 28 to 508 of the family's 1533-position model. The record is from RNAcentral.